RNAcentral lists this ribosomal RNA (396 nucleotides) under Triticum aestivum (bread wheat). Its description in RNAcentral is "partial small subunit ribosomal RNA". Lineage: Eukaryota; Viridiplantae; Streptophyta; Magnoliopsida; Poales; Poaceae. The record is from RNAcentral.
AUGGCCUACCCGUGCUUGAUACCGAGAUGUUCAAGAUGGCCGACCCGUUCAUUGCUGGUUGGUUUCUUAGUGCCUACCUCCUUGCGGGAUUUGGCGAUGAUGCCAAAGGAAGCAAUGGGCUGUUGGGAUACCGGCUGGGGGAUUAUUCAGUGUAUGUGGGCCUUGGCAGAGCACAGUCACUUAACCCUGUACUCCAUCUGGUUGGAUAGCAAAUUGCGUUUUAAUGUUGAUUCAAUGCUUAUCAUUAAGUAUUUCUUAUGGAGAAAGAAAGCAGAGUAUGCCAUUUCAGCGCACUACGAUUGCACAUGUGUCUGGGAGGAAGUUCUUCAGAACAAGCGCUUAAACAAAUGUGCCCGAUGGUUCUUUCAUCGUGUGUGCCCUUACACCAAUGUCUAA